AUGCAAGAGAUUGGGCUUAAGGAAGAGGCCCUGGACGACGUAGUAUUCGAUGAGGCCGACAUCCCUGAAGAUGCAGCUCGUUGGGUUGCUAUCGCGCGGGUGAACUCAGUCAAAACCUAUAGCCAGACGUGGUUUUUUCGCAACAUGAGAUCUGCUUGGGACCUUGCUCAGGAGGUCAAAUUCAGGCCAUUGGAAGAUAAUCUGUACACCAUCCAAUUUUCUUGCCUGGGUGAUUGGGAGAGGGUGAUGCAAGAGGGGCCAUGGCACUUCAGGGGAGAUGAUGUCAUUAUCAAGCCAUACGAUGGGGUGACGAAACCGACCACCAUCAAGCUGGACACAAUAGAUAUUUGGGUCCAUAUCCAUGACGUACCCGACUUGUUUGCUCACCUUAUUGAACCACUUGCGGGCAGGAUAGGAGAUGUCUUGUUUGUUGAACCUCCUUCACAGGAUUUUGUUGGAAAUUUCCAAUGUGUUUGGGUAAGAAUUGAAGUGACAAAGCCUUUGAAGAAUGUUGUGUCUAUGGUAAGGGGAGGAAAGCAUCAGAUUUAUCGGGUUAAAUAUGAGAAGUUGCCCGAUUGGUGUGUGGUAUGUGGGAUGUUGGGUCAUCUCUUCAAAGAACACGGGUUUGGUGUGCAUCCACCUUUUGCCUUAGUGUUCAAAGAUCUGAGGGCAGGCUGGUAUAUGAGAACUGGCAGAGGGCCUGGUGGUGGACGAGGCCGCCGUGGCGGCCGCAAAGGAGGACGUACUGGCGGAAGAUGA
RNAcentral lists this ribosomal RNA (759 nucleotides) under Triticum aestivum (bread wheat). RNAcentral's name for it is "partial small subunit ribosomal RNA". Lineage: Eukaryota; Viridiplantae; Streptophyta; Magnoliopsida; Poales; Poaceae. The record is from RNAcentral.